RNAcentral lists this long non-coding RNA (1265 nucleotides) under Cricetulus griseus (Chinese hamster). RNAcentral describes it as "lncRNA (ENSCGRG00015039682.1)". The record is from RNAcentral. Lineage: Eukaryota; Metazoa; Chordata; Mammalia; Rodentia; Cricetidae.
CGCCGGUUCUGUCCUGCAGGCUUCCUGUUUUAGGAUUUGACCAGUCAGGGUUCUUCGACUGAGACCCCCAGGGAGAAACAGUCUGGAAAGACCGAAGCCGUCAGGUCUGCUGAGUCCAAAGCCCCAGAGGGCCCUGCUGCCCUCUCCCUCCCCAUUUUUCCGUUGGAUACCCCUGGACGCCGAGGGGUGAUUGCGCGUGCGUCACCCUGCUCGCGCGAGUGGCUUGGUUGUCACCUUCUACGGGUUGGACAAGCGCGUGCGCCGGGCCGCAUCCGUUGCUUGGUUACGGCUUUCUCCUGCAGCCUGCCGGGUGCGGUUCUCCCGGCUGCUGUUUUGGCCUGGGGCUGCCGGGCGCGCUCAUGCCACCCGCUGGCGUCGGCCAAAGGAGAGGAGCCGGAGCCAGAUGGCUCGGUCCUCUAACCUCCCUCACGACUCCUCCCGGUGGGACGUGGCCUCAAGCCCCGGGCUGAGCGCUGGACCUCUUAGACCAGGGACAUCCGCAGGUCAGGCUGCGUCUGUCGGUGCAGAGGCUCUCUGGAAAAGAGGCCCUCAUGUGCAGCUGAGGAUUGGCCUGGGCCACCACAACUCCACAGAGUUUGGAGUCACAUGGUAAAAAUCAUCUCCCCAUGGAGAGUCUUCCCUGAUGGUGUACUCCUUCUGCCUUUGCCGAAUUUGUGACACUGAUACGCUUGGGUCCCUCCUUGUACUGGACAGAGCAAUGCAGAGCCACAGUUGGGGCCCCCUCUGACAAGGACAAAACACCAGUGUGGCAGUCUCUCCUCACCUCCCUUAUUUAUUUGUUUACUUAUUUAUAGACAGGGUCUGGCCUUGAAUUCCUGCUCCUCCUGUCUUCACCUACCAAGUUCUCCCAACACUACAUCUGGCUCCCUGGAUUCUUUAUCUGUACCGGUGGCAAAGGUUUUUAAGUCUAAAUCCUCCUGUUUGGUAUGAUAUUUUGAGUCAUGUGUAGCCUCAGUGCACCUUUAUUGUGGCCAGUCCAACCCUGGGUUUCAGACACAGUGCAAAUAAUGAUAAUAUCAGUGAGAUGGCUCAGUGGGUAAGGGUGCCUGUUGCUAAACUGGACAACCCAAGUUCAAUCCCGGGAACCCACACGGCAGAGGAAGAGAACUGGCUCACACUAGUUGUCCUCUGACCUCUACAUGUGUGGCAUGUGUGAGUACACACACAUAUACAAAUAAAUACAAAUAAUAAUAAAAAGAAUGUGAACUCAGUCUUUUUUAGUACUUUGCUUAUGCUGACUGCUG